Molecule: ribosomal RNA, 253 nt
Filed under: uncultured bacterium
Lineage: Bacteria
Description: partial 16S ribosomal RNA
Rfam family: Bacterial small subunit ribosomal RNA
Source: RNAcentral
UACGGAGGGUACUAGCGUUGUCCGGAUUUAUUGGGCGUAAAGGGCUUGUAGGUGGUUUGUCGCGUCUGUCGUGAAGUCCUGUGGCUUAACCAUGGGCUUGCGGUGGGUACGGGCAGGCUUGAGUGCGGUAGGGGAGACUGGAAUUCCUGGUGUAGCGGUGGAAUGCGCAGAUAUCAGGAGGAACACCGGUGGCGAAGGCGGGUCUCUGGGCAGUAACUGACGCUGAGGCGCGAAAGCGUGGGUAGCAAACAGG